AGUUGUGCGUGCCGACGCCCGCGUCAGCAAAGAGCGGAGCUGAGGGUACCCGGUUUGAAGUCGUGCGGGUCGGAGGACUGCCGCCUCCGCUACCGUCUUGGACCCCUGCUUACCGGCCGCCGCGGGGACGAGCUCGGGUAGGCGGCAGGGCAGAUGCCCGAGGGCCUGCGCUGGAACGCCCCACGCCGCACCGGCCGCUCCCCUGUGCUCCGCGGCCUGGGCCUGCGCCGCUCAGCUCUCUGGAAACUAGCGCCUCAGCUGCGCGGCGCGUAGGUCGCGGGGAGCUCCGAACCGCCGGCGCCCGGCCAUGGCGGUCUCCAGUCUUUGGUACCUUCCAUGCAACUUGACAUCUGUUACCUGUGUCUCCUCCAUCUGUCUGUCUAUCCUUCAGAGAAUGAAGAAUGUUACUUUUUCCUGCUAGCUGUGUGCAACAGAAGUUUUAGCCAAAAGUAGUAUGGGAGCUAGAUCGCCUUUUUAUUUUACUGGAUACUGGCACUACUCCUGUUACAAGAAAAGCUGCUGCACAGCAACUUGGAGAAGUGGUGAAGCUUCAUCCCCAUGAACUAAAUAAUCUCCUGUCUAAAGUGUUGAUAUAUUUAAGGAGUGCAAAUUGGGAUACCCGGAUUGCAGCAGGACAAGCUGUUGAAGCUAUAGUGAAAAAUGUACCUGAGUGGAAUCCAGUGCCGAGAACCAGACAAGAACCUACUUCCGAAAGUUCUAUGGAAGAUUCACCUACUACAGAGCGAUUGAAUUUUGACAGAUUUGAUAUAUGUAGAUUGUUACAACAUGGUGCAUCACUCCUGGGAUCUGCUGGUGCCGAAUUUGAAGUCCAAGAUGAAAAAUCAGGUGAAGUGGAUCCUAAAGAGAGGAUAGCACGCCAACGAAAAUUAUUACAGAAGAAACUUGGCCUUAAUAUGGGAGAAGCAAUUGGAAUGAGUACUGAAGAACUUUUCAAUGAUGAGGAUUUGGAUUAUACCCCAACUUCAGCAUCCUUUGUUAACAAACAACCUACUCUUCAGGCAGCUGAAUUGAUUGACUCAGAGUUUCGAGCAGGAAUGAGCAAUAGACAAAAGAACAAAGCUAAAAGAAUGGCCAAGUUAUUUGCAAAACAGAGAUCCAGGGAUGCAGUGGAAACUAAUGAGAAGAGGUAUUGUUCUAGGCCCUGAGGACAUGUGUGAAUAAAAUAGAGAAGAAUUCCUGCCUUCGGAGGUUAUAGUCUGGAGGGAAAGAAAGAUGGGAAAUAAAUAAGUAAAAUACAGUGUCAAUGAUAGCACUGAUGGGGAGCCAGAAGAAAAGAGACGGAAAAUAGCAAAUGUUGUUAUUAAUCAGUCUGCAAAUGAUUCCAAAGUCUUGAUUGAUAAUAUUCCAGACAGCUCUUCCUUAAUUGAAGAGACAAAUGAAUGGCCUUUGGAAAGCUUUUGUGAAGAACUUUGCAAUGACCUUUUUAAUCCCUCCUGGGAGGUUCGACAUGGUGCAGGCACUGGACUUAGGGAAAUUCUUAAAGCUCAUGGGAAAAGUGGUGGUAAAAUGGGUGACAGCACUUUAGAAGAGGUAAGUGUAUUAAUGCAACAAUUAUCACCAAGUAUUAAUAGUUGGCAUCUUUUUCCAAUGUAGGGAAGUAACGAGUAUGUGCCGUGAAGUAGGAAUGAGAGGUAAAUAAGAGGAAGAGAUAUGAAAAGAUGAUUCAGCAGCAUCAAGAGUGGUUGGAAGACUUGGUUAUUAGACUCCUUUGUGUUUUUGCAUUAGACAGAUUUGGAGACUUUGUUUCUGAUGAAGUUGUGGCACCAGUUCGUGAAACUUGUGCUCAAACAUUAGGUGUGGUUUUAAAACACAUGAACGAAACAGGAGUUCAUAAGACUGUGGAUGUGCUGCUAAAAUUACUUACACAAGAACAAUGGGAAGUUAGACAUGGUGGUCUGCUGGGAAUAAAAUAUGCUUUGGCAGUCCGUCAGGAUGUAAUUAAUACUUUAUUGCCUAAAGUUUUAACUAGAAUAAUUGAAGGACUCCAGGAUCUUGAUGAUGAUGUCAGAGCUGUUGCUGCAGCAUCAUUAGUGCCUGUAGUAGAAAGCCUUGUCUAUCUUCAGACACAAAAGGUGCCCUUCAUUAUAAAUACAUUGUGGGAUGCUCUUCUGGAAUUAGAUGAUCUAACAGCUUCAACAAAUAGUAUUAUGACUCUCCUUUCAUCCUUGUUAACUUACCCUCAGGUCCAACAAUGCAGUAUUCAGCAGUCACUGACAGUUUUAGUUCCACGUGUCUGGCCUUUUUUGCAUCACACUAUAUCAUCAGUUCGAAGAGCAGCAUUGGAAACUCUGUUUACGUUAUUAUCAACACAGGACCAGAACUCUUCAUCUUGGCUUAUACCUAUACUGCCUGAUAUGCUCCGACACAUUUUUCAGUUCUGUGUUUUGGAAAGCAGCCAGGAAAUUCUGGACCUUAUUCACAAGGUUUGGAUGGAACUGUUGAGUAAGGCUUCAGUUCAGUAUGUGGUAGCAGCUGCUUGCCCAUGGAUGGGUGCUUGGCUUUGCUUGAUGAUGCAGCCUUCUCAUUUACCUAUCGAUUUAAAUAUGUUGCUAGAAGUAAAAGCUAGAGCCAAGGAAAAAACAGGUGGUAAGGUGCGCCAAGGCCAAAGCCAGAAUAAAGAAGUACUUCAGGAGUAUAUUGCAGGUGCCGACACCAUCAUGGAAGACCCAGCCACCAGGGAUUUUGUAGUUAUGCGGGCCAGAAUGAUGGCAGCCAAGUUGUUAGGAGCACUUUGUUGCUGUAUUUGUGAUCCAGGUGUAAAUGUGGUAACUCAAGAAAUUAAACCAGCUGAAUCCCUGGGCCAGUUACUACUCUUCCAUUUGAACUCCAAGUCUGCUUUACAGAGGAUUAGUGUAGCUUUGGUAAUCUGUGAAUGGGCUGCUUUACAAAAGGAGUGUAAAGCUGUUACCUUAGCUGUGCAGCCGCGUUUACUUGAUAUCCUUUCAGAACAUUUAUAUUAUGACGAAAUUGCCGUUCCAUUCACACGAAUGCAGAAUGAAUGUAAACAACUUAUAUCAUCAUUAGCUGAUGUACAUAUUGAAGUUGGUAAUCGAGUAAACAACAAUGUUUUAACAAUAGAUCAAGCUAGUGACUUGGUCACUACUGUUUUUAAUGAAGCCACAUCAUCUUUCGAUUUAAAUCCUCAAGUGUUACAACAGUUAGAUAGUAAACGACAGCAGGUCCAAAUGACAGUUACAGAGACCAACCAGGAGUGGCAAGUGUUGCAGUUGAGAGUGCAUACUUUUGCUGCCUGUGCAGUUGUGAGCUUGCAGCAGCUUCCGGAGAAAUUAAAUCCUAUCAUAAAACCAUUAAUGGAGACAAUUAAAAAAGAAGAGAAUACACUAGUGCAAAACUAUGCAGCUCAGUGCAUAGCUAAACUCCUUCAGCAGUGCACAACAAGGACGCCCUGUCCCAAUUCAAAAAUUAUUAAAAACCUCUGUAGCUCACUUUGUGUGGACCCAUAUCUAACUCCUUGUGUCACAUGUCCAGUACCAACACAAAGUGGCCAGGAAAAUUCUAAAGGAUCCACCUCAGAAAAAGAUGGAAUGCACCAUACUGUCACCAAGCACAGAGGUAUAAUUACACUCUACAGGCACCAGAAAGCUGCCUUUGCUAUCACAAGUAGGCGAGGUCCUACCCCCAAAGCAGUAAAAGCUCAAAUAGCAGAUCUUCCUGCAGGAAGUAGUGGAAAUAUUCUUGUUGAACUUGAUGAGGCCCAGAAGCCUUACCUGGUACAACGGAGAGGAGCUGAAUUUGCUUUGACAACUAUAGUAAAGCAUUUUGGUGGUGAAAUGGCAGUGAAGUUGCCACAUCUCUGGGAUGCUAUGGUUGGCCCAUUGAGGAAUACAAUCGACAUAAAUAAUUUUGAUGGAAAAUCCCUCCUGGAUAAGGGAGAUAGCCCUGCUCAAGAAUUGGUGAAUUCUCUGCAGGUUUUUGAAACAGCAGCAGCUUCAAUGGAUUCUGAGCUUCAUCCCUUGUUGGUCCAGCAUUUGCCACAUCUUUAUAUGUGCCUUCAAUACCCCAGUACUGCAGUGAGGCACAUGGCUGCUCGUUGUGUAGGUGUCAUGAGCAAAAUAGCUACCAUGGAAACAAUGAAUAUUUUUUUGGAGAAGGUUCUUCCGUGGCUGGGAGCAAUUGAUGACAGUGUCAAACAAGAGGGUGCAAUUGAAGCACUUGCCUAUAUUUCACAGAGCUCAAAAGAUGGAUGAAGAUCAAAUCAGUAGAAACUCUGGUUCAAAAAUACUGAAGAUUACAGGAGAACUGCGCUUACUAGGCUCACUUCAGGUGUAAUGGAACAACUAGAUGUUGGUAUUGUUCCAUAUAUUGUCCUUUUAGUUGUUCCUGUAUUAGGAAGAAUGAGUGAUCAGACAGACAGUGUGAGAUUCAUGGCCACGCAGUGCUUUGCAACGCUAAUUAGACUCAUGCCACUUGAGGCAGGCAUUCCAGACCCUCCAAACAUGUCAGCAGAAUUAAUCCAAUUGAAAGCCAAGGAGCGACACUUUUUGGAGCAAUUGUUAGAUGGGAAAAAAUUGGAAAAUUAUAAAAUUCCAGUACCAAUCAAUGCUGAACUCAGAAAAUAUCAGCAGGAUGGUGUGAACUGGUUAGCAUUUCUUAAUAAGUAUAAACUUCAUGGAAUUCUGUGUGAUGACAUGGGUUUAGGAAAAACUUUACAGUCCAUCUGCAUUCUAGCAGGAGAUCAUUGUCAUAGGGCCCAGGAAUAUGCAAGAUCAAAAUUAGCAGAAUGUAUGCCACUUCCUUCCUUAGUGGUUUGUCCGCCAACAUUAACAGGCCAUUGGGUGGAUGAAGUAGGUAAAUUUUGCUCUAGAGAAUAUCUCAACCCGUUGCAUUACACUGGACCUCCCACUGAAAGAAUAAGGUUACAGCACCAAGUAAAAAGGCACAAUCUAAUAGUGGCUUCAUAUGAUGUUGUGAGGAAUGACAUAGAUUUCUUUAGAAAUAUUAAAUUUAACUACUGCAUUCUUGAUGAAGGCCAUGUCAUCAAAAAUGGAAAAACAAAGUUGUCAAAAGCAGUAAAACAACUGACUGCUAAUUAUAGGAUUAUUCUUUCUGGAACACCAAUCCAGAACAACGUUUUGGAGCUGUGGUCAUUAUUUGAUUUCCUCAUGCCAGGAUUUUUGGGUACUGAACGCCAGUUUGCUGCUCGAUAUGGUAAACCUAUAUUAGCAAGUAGGGAUGCUCGAAGCUCCAGUCGAGAGCAAGAAGCAGGUGUUCUUGCUAUGGAUGCGCUGCACCGCCAAGUACUACCGUUUCUUUUGAGAAGAAUGAAAGAAGAUGUUUUGCAGGAUCUUCCACCUAAAAUUAUUCAAGACUAUUAUUGUACUCUUAGUCCUCUCCAGGUUCAGCUCUAUGAAGAUUUUGCUAAGUCUCGUGCCAAGUGUGAUGUUGAUGAAACAGUUUCUUCAGCUACACUUUCUGAAGAAACUGAAAAACCAAAGCUUAAAGCUACAGGCCACGUAUUCCAGGCAUUACAGUACUUACGUAAACUGUGCAACCAUCCAGCAUUAGUCUUAACACCUCAACAUCCAGAAUUCAAGACCACUGCCGAAAAACUGGCAGUUCAGAAUUCUUCUCUACAUGAUAUUCAACAUGCCCCUAAGCUCUCAGCUUUGAAACAAUUGCUGUUGGACUGCGGUUUGGGAAAUGGCAGCACUUCCGAGAGUGGCACAGAGUCUGUUGUGGCCCAGCACAGGAUACUGAUAUUCUGUCAGCUGAAAAGCAUGCUUGAUAUAGUAGAGCAUGAUCUCCUCAAACCUCACUUGCCCUCUGUCACUUAUUUGAGAUUAGAUGGCAGCAUACCUCCUGGUCAGAGGCAUUCCAUUGUUUCCCGGUUUAAUAAUGAUCCAUCUAUAGACGUUCUGUUACUUACCACUCACGUUGGUGGCCUGGGACUUAAUUUGACAGGCGCUGACACAGUAGUAUUUGUGGAGCAUGACUGGAAUCCUAUGCGAGAUCUACAAGCCAUGGACCGGGCCCAUCGCAUUGGGCAGAAACGUGUGGUUAACGUAUACCGAUUGAUAACCAGAGGAACAUUGGAAGAAAAAAUAAUGGGGUUGCAGAAAUUCAAGAUGAACAUAGCGAAUACUGUUAUUAGCCAAGAGAAUUCUAGUUUGCAGAGCAUGGGGACUGAUCAGCUUCUUGAUCUGUUUACUCUUGAUAAGGAUGGCAAAGCAGAAAAAGCUGACACCUCUACUUCUGGGAAAGCAAGUAUGAAAUCAAUUCUUGAAAACCUGAGUGAUCUUUGGGAUCAAGAGCAGUAUGAUUCAGAGUACAGCCUGGAAAAUUUUAUGCAUUCUCUCAAGUAACUAUCAAAUAUUGUAAAUGCAAUUGCUGCUAGUUCAGUUACAUUUCUGCUGAUAUUCAGCAAAUUUCUAAGUUUAUGGUGAACUUUUAACUCAAUGUGUAAAUAGAUCUGGAGAAUAUUCAGCAUAAUGCUGGCUCUUGUUUCACUGGGGGAAACAAGUUAUUCUCAAAUAUUUGCACUGUAUUAAAUUUAAAUGUUAAUGUGAAAUGGUUUAAAUUUUACAUGCUGAAAAGCUGCAGAGCAGAGGAACCAAACCAGGUUUAUUUGUGCUACCAGGAGGUGUUCUUAAUGGGAACAGGCCUCCUAUCUUUAGUCACUUUGUACAGGAUGAUAUCCAUGAGUACUUUAGUGUUUGUAUAUGUUUUUUCUUUUAAAUAGAACUUGUUUUUAUAAUUGAUUUAAAAUAGGGCUUUUUUUCUAUAAAAGCCUUAAUGAGCCAUAAUUUUAAGAAUAUAAGAAUAAUGACUAUGAUAUUGGUCAGUCUUAGAACAUGAAAAUGUCAGACAAUGAAUUUAAUCGGGCCCUUGGUGGAAACAUUUAUAUAUUUAAUGCAGAUGCAUAGUGUUUUUCAAAUCUUUAACAUCAUUUUUUCAACUUUUAAGAUAUAAUAUCAACUAUUCUAAAUACAGGUAAUGGUAUAUUUAAGGCUACCAUAACAUCCUAUUUAGAGGGUGGUUUUUUUUAAUUUAUCUAAUGGCUACGAUAUAGCCAGAUUCAAAUAACAUAUGUACUCAAUAGGUUUCAAUCAUAUAUAUAAUAUAUUUUUUGUAACUAUGAACAUACACAGUUUUCCAGAAAUAGAUUUUACACUGUUUAGAAUUCCAACACCUACAGUGGAAAGACUGUUUAUUGUAGUAAUGCAUGGCUGAAGCAUAAAAGGGAGAGAGAAUUUCUUUAUAUACACAAACAUACAUGAAUAUGCAUAUCUAUAUGCAUAGAUGUACCUAUCCUGCACCCAAAAAGGUGCCUGGUAUUGGCACUAAAAUCAUGUAGUUAUACUGGGCAGCAAUAAUAAUUGGGCAUGAGGCUGAUUACUCAAUGGUGAGGGUAGGUAUAUGUAGAUAGAUGUGCAUGUAUGUGUUUGUAUAUAUAAUUUUAUAAGUUUCACGCAUAAAUUAAUACAUGCCUGUGUGCAUACAUAUGUAUGGGAUAUAUUUGUAUAUAUAUGUACAGGUAAUAAACAUCCCCAAGGUUUGUGGCUGGCCAUACACAUAGGCAUCAGUUUAACAACCAUCAGACCUCAGCUGUACAAUAACAGGUGUUUUGUUUAAUUAAAAUUAUACUGUUCUGCAGCAUUUAGACAUUUGUCACAUUUCAUUAGCUUUGACAACCAUACUGUAACAUUAAACCUAGCAUUCCACAAGAGAAUAAAUAUAAGAUUGAAACUGUAAAAUAUAUGCAACUGUGUGUUAUUUGUAGGAAAUGGUCACUAGAAAGAGCAAAAGAUUAUUCAGGUAUACAGGUUUUUUUUCAUUGUUUAGGAUUUUAACUCAAAACUUUAUGUAGAACAUUUCAGUAUAUUUGAGUUGAAUAUUUUUUUAUUAACUAUUUAUUUGCUAGUUCCAUAAACCAGCUCUUUAACAUAGCUUAUAGUAAUUGAUAUUUUCUUAGAAUAAGUACAGAGCAAUAUAUCAUUAAAGGGCUAUGAAGGGGCAAAAGAAAUCACACCAUAAAAGUUAGUACUUUUUCCCAAUCUGAAAUGUCAGAUAGAGCUAGAAGUCAGAUAUUUAGGCUGUUUAAACUUUCUGAGAGUUUAAUCAAAAGGUGUGUAUUUCUAGAAGGAUGACUAGAAAAAUGAUGUGUGGUUGCUUCUGAAUGGGAAACAGGAGUCAGAGCUGACAGGAAAACUUAGAGUGGCUAUAACAUUUUUAAAAUAAUCUUUUGAGUUGUAAAAUAGUAAAUCACACAUUCCAACUUUUCCAUAGAAAGGAAAACAUGUAAACAGGUAAGAACUAAGUAUUCUUAAUUAAAUGACCCAGUCAUUGUAGUACAUCUUAAGAAUAAUGAAGAGAUGUGGAGAAUUGAACUGAGUAAUGAAUGAUAUUAAAGAACUGCUGUCAAUUUCAUGGAUGUGAUGAUUUGGUAGUUUUUUCAAUGUAUGGGUGUGGGAAGUCAAACAAGCAUGAUAGAAUGUUAACUAUUUUAAACUGGGAAUUGGGUUCAUAGAUAUCCAUUGUACUACUUCCCUUGGUUUUUGUGUCUUUAUGAUAGGAAAUAGCAAACUGUUAAAAAUAUAGAUUCAGAGAUUAUUAGUCUUAUCAUUUGGGUUUCUUGUAGGAAAAUCUUAACAUUUGGGGGCCUGGGUAUAAUUUUUGUUUCAUAUAUUCACUCAUAUAUAUGCUUAUUGUAUAUGCUUAUUUAUUCUACAAACAUUUCUCCAAAAAGUAUUCUAGUGAAAGGGUAAAAGUCUUUGAUGUUGGGACUGAUUGAACUGGUAUAGCCUUAUUCCUUCUGGAUGGUUUAUAUGAACUUACUUAUUCAAAAGUAAAUAUUCCACUGAAGCUA
This is an RNA transcript of Homo sapiens (human), 8848 nucleotides long. It is a transcript of the gene named B-TFIID TATA-box binding protein associated factor 1, with no coding region annotated. The transcript is spliced from 41 exons. Lineage: Eukaryota; Metazoa; Chordata; Mammalia; Primates; Hominidae. The record is from RefSeq and is marked validated.